GUGGAGAGACAGAUGGCAGGGGCAGGGUCAAUUCACUCGUCCUCCUACAUCCAGUUGAUGGAGAGCUGGAACUGCAGUGAAAAAACUAUCAAUACAUUUAUAAGGUCUGCGAGCACACCUUGCAACCAACUUAGAAGGCCGACUUGCCUUAAGAUCGGGUGUAAACUUGGACCACACUUCCCGCACCCAUUUGGUAAGAUCUGUGGUCGAGUAUUUGUUCAAAUACUUCUCAUGUAAGAACAAAAUAAACUCACAAAUCCUCCAAAAAGCAGCGGCGGAAAUUGUACUAGAAUACCCGAACAAGAAGGCUUCGGUGUAUUUUGUGCCCGGAAAACCGAAGACGAAACACAGCAGCAGAACAUUAAGCAGCGGAAAGCUAUUCAAUAGGUACCAGAAAGUACUAAGAAAACUUGGUGGCUUA
Belonocnema kinseyi is the source of this 421-nucleotide long non-coding RNA. RefSeq lists it as uncharacterized. The record is from RefSeq and is a predicted model, not a curated record. The transcript is spliced from 3 exons. NCBI's taxonomy places the organism in Eukaryota, Metazoa, Arthropoda, Insecta, Hymenoptera, Cynipidae.